GAGUUUGAUCCUGGCUCAGGAUGAACGCUAGCGGCAGGCUUAACACAUGCAAGUCGAGGGGUAUAGUAGCAAUACUAGAGACCGGCGCACGGGUGCGUAACGCGUAUGCAAUCUACCUUUUACAGAGGAAUAGCCCAGAGAAAUUUGGAUUAAUACCUCAUAGUAUUAUUGUGUGGCAUCACAUUAUAAUUAAAGUUACAACGGUAAAAGAUGAGCAUGCGUCCCAUUAGCUUGUUGGUAAGGUAACGGCUUACCAAGGCUACGAUGGGUAGGGGUCCUGAGAGGGAGAUCCCCCACACUGGUACUGAGACAC
Molecule: ribosomal RNA, 313 nt
Filed under: uncultured CFB-group bacterium 42ev
Lineage: Bacteria; Pseudomonadati; Bacteroidota
Description: bacterial SSU rRNA
Rfam family: Bacterial small subunit ribosomal RNA
Source: RNAcentral